GUUUUUAUAGUGUAAUUUAACACAUUACAUUUUCACUGUAAAAAUAAAGACUUUUCUUUUAAAAACU
Molecule: transfer RNA, 67 nt
Filed under: Allogalathea elegans
Lineage: Eukaryota; Metazoa; Arthropoda; Malacostraca; Decapoda; Galatheidae
Description: tRNA-Glu
Rfam family: tRNA
About the family: Transfer RNA (tRNA) molecules are approximately 80 nucleotides in length. Their secondary structure includes four short double-helical elements and three loops (D, anti-codon, and T loops).
Source: RNAcentral